This 195-nucleotide non-coding RNA is filed under the name Lachnospiraceae bacterium. Its description in RNAcentral is "6S RNA". It matches the Rfam family "6S / SsrS RNA". From Rfam's summary of the family: E. coli 6S RNA was the first non coding RNA to be sequenced, but its function was unknown until recently. The record is from RNAcentral. Lineage: Bacteria; Bacillati; Bacillota; Clostridia; Lachnospirales; Lachnospiraceae.
GAUAACCUGAAAUGCUCGAUAAAGUCUUGUUAUUUUGAACCUACAGAUACUUUAAACGGGAUUCCUACAUUGUCAUAUAGAUGUCAGGCCUCCAGCCUUUUGGGCAUUGCGCAGUGGAAGACAGAAGUAUGGUUGCGGUUACCCACCUAGCGUUGCUAGGAGUCAAAAUACAAGAUACGGCAUUUUGGGCGUAUA